UUAAUUUAUUGAUUUUAAUGUCAAUCUCUAUGAAUCCUCUGAUUCGUCUUUUCAAAUAUAAAUUCAAGGGCUUAAAGCUUGAUUUUGAAUUUGAACUUGAUUUGAAUGCUUUGAGGGACUUGAUCUUGACUUGUGCUUGAAUUUAAGGGCUUUUGAACUUGUUCUUGAGGGACUUGAUCUUGACUUGUGCUUGAAUUUAAGGGCUUUUGAACUUGUUCUUGAAUAUUGCGGUCUUGAUCUUGAAUCUUGAUUAACUUAAUUUGAAUGCUUGAGCUUUUUAGCUUUCUUCUUGUUAGAGUUCUGGGAUCCCUCUUUCUGAAUUAUAACACCCCUAUUUAUAAUUGUGGAAAAGGAAGAAUCACAGUGAAGAUGAACUUUCGUGGAGCCUUUUAAGGGCUUUGAUUUUAUUUGGCCUGCUGCAUUAUUUUGACAUGUGGCAAUAUCCUAUUGGCUCCUUCACUUGACUUGACAUACUGCGUCAUUUGACACGUGUCAUUUAUUUGGACCUGUAGAAUAUGAAAAUAUCUUGGACUUAGCAAAGUGGGCUCAUCAUUUAUAGCCCAAAUCAAUGGGCUAGCCCAAUAAAAAAUGGACUUUAAUUAAAUCCGUAUAUGUUUGGACUUAAAUAAUUAAUCCAAUUAUAUUAAUCCGCAAUAUUUAUUUGGGACUAAUAUAUUUUGAAUUUAAUAUAAUCCAAAUUUUAUACGGAUUUAAAUCUUCAAAAUUGCACCCACGGAUUUCUCUUCUGAUGAAUUAAUUAUAGCAUUCUUCUAACAGAUAUUGAUGAGUGUGCAACGAAUCCUUGUGAUGGAAUUUGCACAACCACUCUAAGAGGGUUUCCGUGUUCCUGUCUGAAGGGAUAUUUUGGUGAUGGCCAGAAGGGGGGAUAUUUUGGUGAUGGCCAGAAGGGACGUGGUUGCCAGAAGGAGCAUGAUUUCCCCGUCUUAAAGAUAUCUCUUGGUAUGUAAACACAACUACGAUGCAUGAAAUUUCAAUUUUAUCAAACAAUAGAUAUGAAAAUAAACAUCAGAUAAUAAUAUGGUUAAAAAUAAUAUAUUCAAGCUCAAAAUCAUUAGCCGCAAGUGCCAAAUUUCGGUAGUUCGAGUCUUUAUUGCAAUCAUUAAGUUUGUUUGAUUUUUUAUGUCUGGUCUUUAAUCAUUUUCUACGUAUGUUCUUUUAAUUUUACAAUCAUUUAAUGAAUCUGAAUGAUUAAGAUUUGUUAAAAAGUCUAAAUAUCAACCAGAUAUACAUUCAUCACUACAUCAUUCACUUUACUGUUAACCGCCGCUGCCUACCAAUAUUAACUAGCAUCACCAAUAACCACCAGCACCGCCAAUCACCACAAUCAACCAUCACAACACUAGACACUAAUUACGAUCAUCUCUAAGAACCACCAUUUCAGCAACCACCAACAUUACCAAAAAUCACAAUCAACCACCACUAUAUAUCGUCAACCACCGUCAUCAUUCACCAUUACCACUUAACUAUUACUAUCAUCCACCUCAAUUAUUAGUCGUAACCGCACCAACUACCACCACCUUUAACUGUUAGAACAAGCACAGCGGAAGCAAUAAUUCUACAGGAUCAAUAACUUACAUAAUAUCUCGAUAAUAUAACCAAAAUGAGAAUCAGAAAACUUACCUCUUGAAGCUUUCACAAAAUUCGUUCAACGCUUUGUUUUCCAGGACUGCGAUCUUCUACCACAACUGAAUUAAUCUUUUUCAAUCAACACUUGAGUGGCAAGUGAUUAUCUUUCAGAAAAGAAGAUCAUCUUGAAUCAAAAAACCAGUCCCUAUUUAUUCCCAAUCUUUAAUGAAGAGGGGAAGAUAAAGGGGCAAAACGUUUUUGCCCUUAUUGCUAUCAUUAUGUCAUUAAACGUUUUUGCCUUUAUUAUGGGUUUAAUACCCAAAACAUUUUUGGCCUUAAUGCAGUCAUUAAACCUGAUUUUUAAUUCAUUCUCUCCUUAUUAAUAGAAGACCCGCAAUUAAAAUAAAAUCACUUCUUCUAUAAAG
RNAcentral lists this long non-coding RNA (2012 nucleotides) under Capsicum annuum. Its description in RNAcentral is "long non-coding RNA (CANN_LNC008849)". Lineage: Eukaryota; Viridiplantae; Streptophyta; Magnoliopsida; Solanales; Solanaceae. The record is from RNAcentral.